GCCGGCGUAGCUCAAUUCGGAUGAGCGACUGCCUAGUAAGCAGAGGGUUGCGGGUUCGAUUCCUGCCGCCGGCCCCA
Molecule: transfer RNA, 77 nt
Filed under: Chloroflexota bacterium
Lineage: Bacteria; Bacillati; Chloroflexota
Also listed under: 1 other name
Description: Chloroflexi bacterium tRNA-Thr
Rfam family: tRNA
About the family: Transfer RNA (tRNA) molecules are approximately 80 nucleotides in length. Their secondary structure includes four short double-helical elements and three loops (D, anti-codon, and T loops).
Source: RNAcentral